UACUUAUCAGGUAUAUCUUGGAAGCUUAGAGGCAAUCCAACAAUCAAACUUGCUUCAUGUGGAAGGAACUCUUGAGAUAUCAACUCCCUCCUCUAGAAUGUGUCUCGUGAUCUAUAAGAUCACAGACCUAUGAGUCUGUGUGAAGCAUCGAGAUUGGAGAUACUAUCUUCGAUGCAGAAAUUUUUGGCAACCAUUUGUUACCUCUGAUCUUAAUGGAUUCACCAUUUCCCACUCUCCAAAUAGUGCCCAACUCUAUGACAUGUCUAGCCUACAGCAAACUCUUCCAAGCAUAAGAUCCUUUAUUUGGGUAAUCACAAUCCAUGAUAGAGCAGGAAGGGGAAAUUUUAGCUUUUAAAACUCUAUAAAAAAGAGAAUUAUUAUGGGUUUUAAGCCUCCAAACCUAUUUUGCUAGUAGAGAGUCAUUAAACAUGCUUAAUUCCCUAAACCCCAUUCCGCCAUCGCAUUUUGGGAGGCAUAUUUUUCCCAGCUCAUCCAAUGGGUUUUCUUUUGUUCUCCUAUAUAUCCCCACCAAAACUUCCUUAUCAAAACCUCUAUUUCCUUUAUCAACCCUUUCGAGAGCUUGAAACAAGACAUGGUGUAUGUUGGGAUUGCCUGAACAACUGCCUCAAUGAGGAUUUCAUGCCCCACCUACAACAAUAAUUUCUCCUUCCAACCCUUGAGCUUCUUCCAAAUUCUUUCUUUUAUUAUGCUAAAAGAUUUCUUCUUUGCUCAACCAAUCAAUGACGGGAGACCCAAGUAUUGUUCAAAUCUUUGGACUGAUGGGACACCCAAGAAAUUUUUGAUAGCUUCCUGUGUUUGAGGCAAAAUAUUAGUGUAACACCCCAACCUAAUUUCAUAAUUAAUUUUAUGGGUUUAUAUGCAUGUCAUUAUCUUAAUUACUUUUAAGUGCAUGAAACUUUGAUAUUGUGAUAUUAUAGAACAUAUAUGCUCUUUUAAGGUGAUGGAUAUAACUUUAUAAAGGUAAGGAUAUAUAUAUAUAUAUAUAUAUUAUUUUUUGUAGAAAAGUGAGUGUGAACUCAAGAAAGUUGAAAAAGUGGGGAAAAAGGGGGUGUGAUUUUUCUUCCCUAGUCUUCCACGUAUCCCACCCCAAUUGUCCGCAUCUCUUAUCUUCUUUGGCUGCCCCAAAAGUCUUCUCCUUAUCCUAUUUUCUUGGUUGCAUCAGACCAAAAAGUCCAGCCCUCUUUCCCUACUCCUUUUUCUUUGUUUUUGUUUUCUUCUCUCUUUGCUCUUACACGGCAGCCUUCUCUCUCUCACCAAAACAAAAUAUCCCUCUCUAAAGAAGAAAUUAAAGGGUUAACACUAAAAUUUCAGUUUCAAAUUGUUGGGGGUGGUGAGAACGAGAACACAGACACUUGAGCUCCUCUUGUAUAAUCUCUCGCGCCUUCUGUUUUCAGUGCACAGGUUCUUCCUGGAAGCAGCAAGAGUAUUAGAGGUGACAAGGAUUUUGUGUUUUCUCGUUUGUUAGAAUGUAGAGUUUUGUUGUAUAGCAGUUAGCUGUUUUGUUGUAUAGAAGGAAUCAAGAUGUACUUGAUCCUUUGAGCACAGAUAUAAUUCGAUACCUUAGCUUGUUGUGAACCCCAAUUGUAUGUCUUUGGGGUUAGGUUUGUAAUAAGAGUUUUGCUAAACGUUUAGCUAUGUAAUAUUUACACGAAUACCUUAAGUUUCAGCUAGGUGGUAUUUUUCCAAGUUUGAAGGAAAUGAAAUUUCAAGGUUUCCAUCA
Quercus robur (English oak) is the source of this 1741-nucleotide long non-coding RNA. RefSeq lists it as uncharacterized. The transcript has 3 exons. Lineage: Eukaryota; Viridiplantae; Streptophyta; Magnoliopsida; Fagales; Fagaceae. The record is from RefSeq and is a predicted model, not a curated record.